Molecule: long non-coding RNA, 215 nt
Organism: Passer domesticus (house sparrow)
Lineage: Eukaryota; Metazoa; Chordata; Aves; Passeriformes; Passeridae
Exons: 2
Source: RefSeq, a predicted model, not a curated record
UUUGGGGCACAGAGGCCCGGGCUGCCACUGCCCCAGAGCACCUUUCUCAGGAGGCAGCAGCGGCCUGAGAGCCCCUGCAGGAAAGCAUGACAGAGACACCCAACGGGGAGAAGGGCUCUGGAGAAUUGUCGUCGUCCCUCAUUACUGCACAGAGGCUCAAAGCAACCAACACCAUUCCUGCAGGAGGACAUCCAAUAAAAGAUGCUGAUUUGCCA